This is a long non-coding RNA of Daphnia pulicaria, 932 nucleotides long. RefSeq lists it as uncharacterized. The transcript has 5 exons. Lineage: Eukaryota; Metazoa; Arthropoda; Branchiopoda; Diplostraca; Daphniidae. The record is from RefSeq and is a predicted model, not a curated record.
ACGCGAGUGUCUUCGUGAGGACGAAAUAUUUGCCAUUUGUUUCCGAGACUCUGACAGUCUGACUGAAAGUGUAUUCCAAAUUCAUACGGAAUUGCGGUGUCGAUCUACAUUUUCAGCCAUGAAAUGUAAUUGGAAUCUGGCAUAUAAUUUCACUUGGUCAAAUAAUGUGACGACGUGGGUCGAAAGUCGAAACUGCUGUCCAUUUUGCCGAAAUGUCGGCAGUUGUUAAAGCCGUACCGUACGUCUCAUCUCGUGCAGAAACACUUCAGAGCUAGUAAAUUGAUGUUCAGGUCAGAGAUUCCUUUGCUCAACUGUUGUAUUUAUUGAAAAAAUGACAAAAGUCUGAGCUUCAUGGCUGUUGUAGCAUCAACUUGGUUUUGUUGCAGCCAGCUGGUGGGAAAGGUGUGAUCAAGUCAAGUUCAGCUGCAGCUGCUUCAUGCAGUGUAUCGAGCUGUUGUUAUCCCAUUGUUACAACAGGAAGACUUCUUGAAUUGGAAUUCAUGGUCAGUUGGAGCCGUUUACGUUGUUGCAGUUGGUGUACAGUGGUUUUGCAGUCCCUUUCCAGUUGAGAGAUGUCCUGAAAUGGAGCUUAUGCAGACUUACAGUUCAACAUCAUACAUGAAUGUGUCAUUUGCCUAUGUUGGUGUUCAUUCCGUAUAUGCAGUGUUCAACAGUUGGGUAAAAUAGUCAUUGUUGACUGAUGGCUGUCGGUAUUAUUUUAUCGGUUGCAUUUUGUCGAUAUGUCGUCUCUUGCGACCUGUGCCGGCGUUGAGUUGAAUCGUUUGCUGCCGUUCCAUAGACUUGAUCCAUUGGUAAAACUGAGGAUAGGUUGCUGAAAUUCAAGACUCGUCAAUAUAAAUUAUGUAGAUGUAGAAAAAUUACAAGUGCAUAUCUGGGCUCCCUUCUUCAGUGGCCCCGUUUCCCUAAAUAAC